AUGCAAGUCGAGCGGGCGUAGCAAUACGUCAGCGGCAGACGGGUGAGUAACGCGUGGGAACGUACCUUUUGGUUCGGAACAACACAGGGAAACUUGUGCUAAUACCGGAUAAGCCCUUACGGGGAAAGAUUUAUCGCCGAAAGAUCGGCCCGCGUCUGAUUAGCUAGUUGGUGAGGUAAUGGCUCACCAAGGCGACGAUCAGUAGCUGGUCUGAGAGGAUGAUCAGCCACAUUGGGACUGAGACACGGCCCAAACUCCUACGGGAGGCAGCAGUGGGGAAUAUUGGACAAUGGGGGCAACCCUGAUCCAGCCAUGCCGCGUGAGUGAUGAAGGCCCUAGGGUUGUAAAGCUCUUUUGUGCGGGAAGAUAAUGACGGUACCGCAAGAAUAAGCCCCGGCUAACUUCGUGCCAGCAGCCGCGGUAAUACGAAGGGGGCUAGCGUUGCUCGGAAUCACUGGGCGUAAAGGGUGCGUAGGCGGGUCUUUAAGUCAGGGGUGAAAUCCUGGAGCUCAACUCCAGAACUGCCUUUGAUACUGAGGAUCUUGAGUUCGGGAGAGGUGAGUGGAACUGCGAGUGUAGAGGUGAAAUUCGUAGAUAUUCGCAAGAACACCAGUGGCGAAGGC
RNAcentral lists this ribosomal RNA (623 nucleotides) under Bradyrhizobium japonicum. RNAcentral describes it as "bacterial SSU rRNA". It matches the Rfam family "Bacterial small subunit ribosomal RNA", at positions 55 to 722 of the family's 1533-position model. Lineage: Bacteria; Pseudomonadati; Pseudomonadota; Alphaproteobacteria; Hyphomicrobiales; Nitrobacteraceae. The record is from RNAcentral.